This 225-nucleotide long non-coding RNA is filed under the name Gallus gallus (chicken). Lineage: Eukaryota; Metazoa; Chordata; Aves; Galliformes; Phasianidae. The record is from RNAcentral.
GUUUAAUGCUUCACCUCGUUCACCUUUCACACCUUUCAGCCCAUUCAGUCCUGGGCGGCCUGGGCGUCCUGGGAAACCAAGUUCUCCUUUAGGUCCAGCAGGUCCUAUUGGUCCCAUUGGUCCCAUUGGUCCUACCACUCCAGCUUCACCCUUCUGCCCUUUUCUUCCUAACAAUUCAGUUAAAGAUCCAUCAGCAGCAAUGACAGCUCCAGAUUCUCCUUUUUC